UGCUUAACACAUGCAAGUCGAACGAAGCAUUUAGGAUUGAAGUUUUCGGAUGGAUUUCCUAUAUGACUGAGUGGCGGACGGGUGAGUAACGCGUGGGGAACCUGCCCUAUACAGGGGGAUAACAGCUGGAAACGGCUGCUAAUACCGCAUAAGCGCACAGAAUCGCAUGAUUCAGUGUGAAAAGCCCUGGCAGUAUAGGAUGGUCCCGCGUCUGAUUAGCUGGUUGGUGAGGUAACGGCUCACCAAGGCGACGAUCAGUAGCCGGCUUGAGAGAGUGAACGGCCACAUUGGGACUGAGACACGGCCCAAACUCCUACGGGAGGCAGCAGUGGGGAAUAUUGCACAAUGGGGGAAACCCUGAUGCAGCGACGCCGCGUGAGUGAAGAAGUAUUUCGGUAUGUAAAGCUCUAUCAGCAGGGAAGAAAACAGACGGUACCUGACUAAGAAGCCCCGGCUAACUACGUGCCAGCAGCCGCGGUAAUACGUAGGGGGCAAGCGUUAUCCGGAAUUACUGGGUGUAAAGGGUGCGUAGGUGGCAUGGUAAGUCAGAAGUGAAAGCCCGGGGCUUAACCCCGGGACUGCUUUUGAAACUGUCAUGCUGGAGUGCAGGAGAGGUAAGCGGAAUUCCUAGUGUAGCGGUGAAAUGCGUAGAUAUUAGGAGGACACCAGUGGCGAAGGCGGCUUACUGACUGUCACUGACACUGAUGCACGA
RNAcentral lists this ribosomal RNA (712 nucleotides) under uncultured Lachnospiraceae bacterium. Its description in RNAcentral is "bacterial SSU rRNA". It matches the Rfam family "Bacterial small subunit ribosomal RNA", at positions 45 to 756 of the family's 1533-position model. The record is from RNAcentral. Lineage: Bacteria; Bacillati; Bacillota; Clostridia; Lachnospirales; Lachnospiraceae.